GAUGAACGCUGGCGGCGUGCCUAAUACAUGCAAGUCGAGCGAACAGACGAGGAGCUUGCUCCUCUGACGUUAGCGGCGGACGGGUGAGUAACACGUGGAUAACCUACCUAUAAGACUGGGAUAACUUCGGGAAACCGGAGCUAAUACCGGAUAAUAUAUUGAACCGCAUGGUUCAAUAGUGAAAGACGGUUUUGCUGUCACUUAUAGAUGGAUCCGCGCCGCAUUAGCUAGUUGGUAAGGUAACGGCUUACCAAGGCAACGGUGCGUAGCCGACCUGAGAGGGUGAUCGGCCACACUGGAACUGAGACACGGUCCAGACUCCUACGGGAGGCAGCAGUAGGGAAUCUUCCGCAAUGGGCGAAAGCCUGACGGAGCAACGCCGCGUGAGUGAUGAAGGUCUUCGGAUCGUAAAACUCUGUUAUUAGUGAAGAACAAAUGUGUAAGUAACUAUGCACGUCUUGACGGUACCUAAUCAGAAAGCCACGGCUAACUACGUG
This 497-nucleotide ribosomal RNA is filed under the name uncultured bacterium. RNAcentral describes it as "partial 16S ribosomal RNA". It matches the Rfam family "Bacterial small subunit ribosomal RNA", at positions 28 to 507 of the family's 1533-position model. The record is from RNAcentral.